GACGAACGCUGGCGGCGUGCCUAAUACAUGCAAGUAGAACGCUGAAGGAGGAGCUUGCUUCUCUGGAUGAGUUGCGAACGGGUGAGUAACGCGUAGGUAACCUGCCUGGUAGCGGGGGAUAACUAUUGGAAACGAUAGCUAAUACCGCAUAAUAGUAGAUGUUGCAUGACAUUUGCUUAAAAGGUGCAAUUGCAUCACUACCAGAUGGACCUGCGUUGUAUUAGCUAGUUGGUGGGGUAACGGCUCACCAAGGCGACGAUACAUAGCCGACCUGAGAGGGUGAUCGGCCACACUGGGACUGAGACACGGCCCAGACGCCUACGGGAGGCAGCAGUAGGGAAUCUUCGGCAAUGGACGGAAGUCUGACCGAGCAACGCCGCGUGAGUGAAGAAGGUUUUCGGAUCGUAAAGCUCUGUUGUAAGAGAAGAACGAGUGUGAGAGUGGAAAGUUCACACUGUGACGGUAGCUGACCAGAAAGGGACGGCUAACUACGUG
Molecule: ribosomal RNA, 495 nt
Filed under: uncultured bacterium
Lineage: Bacteria
Description: partial 16S ribosomal RNA
Rfam family: Bacterial small subunit ribosomal RNA
Source: RNAcentral